Gasterosteus aculeatus aculeatus (three-spined stickleback) is the source of this 2534-nucleotide long non-coding RNA. NCBI's taxonomy places the organism in Eukaryota, Metazoa, Chordata, Actinopteri, Perciformes, Gasterosteidae. The record is from Ensembl.
CAAGAACUUCCGGCACAGGCUGAGUAGUGGUGUAAAAAUGGCUUUGGAAUGGCAACAUUCGACCGAAAAUCUUGUUAAAAGUUUUGACCAUUCCGCAUCCAAGUAAGGUAACAUCAUGGCCGGACAACAUGUCGAUAUGGCCCAGCAUCACAACAUCCAAGAUCUUUUCUUAUUUUAUUGAUUCCAUGGCGGUGGAUGGGAAUGCAAUUAAUAACCUAAGAAAGCUCAGAGGCGUUUCAGUACCUCCAUUCCGACAAAGUGGGCUGUGUACUUUUACACGAUAUGGGCAUAGAACGGCCGAUGUUCAACCAAGCCAGUCCGUUAACAAUUCAGCGCGUAACGCCUGGGUUUUGGUUACCAAGACGGGAGAUGUGGAGCUUUGCGCUUUGGAAGACAGACUCAUCGGACAAGGGGCUGGGUGCCGUUUUGUCCCAGGAGGUGGGGGGGGAGAGUUGACUGCCCCGUGUUAUAAAUCAGCCGGAGGCUGUCCGAGUGGGAGGCCAGGUACAGCACGGUGGAGUAGGAGUGCCUGGCCAUCCAGUGGGCGUUGGACUCCCUGCGCUACUACCUCCUGGGACGUCAUUCACCCUCUGUUCGGACCACGACCCGCUCCCCGCAUGAAGGAUACCAUACUAAUCUCCGCUCCCUCUUUUUUAAAUUGGUUCUGUUCAACCCUCUUUAAUGUUUUGUGUCUGUCUUUUUUGUUUUAUUUUUGUGUGAACUUUGUGGGAAUCGUAUUGCAUCUGUAAGUGUCGGUAUUGUUAAUAUUUCUUCUUUUAUCUGGCCGUAGAGUCGAUCAUGCCCGUUCCUGUGAACACCAAAUUGACUUGAGAAUCCUCAAGCUGAAAUAACAUCACCUGCCCAAAGUUCCAGUUUCCUGAAUACAAAGCCCUCUGUUUGGGAAUUUAUCCCACCUGACGAGUCUCGACGCAGUGACUCAAACAUCUUUGUCAAGGUUAAUUACAGAGGAUCAUUGCAGUCCAAAUUGAACACUGACUGGUCAACAUGAGUCGUCAAGUGCAUGUGUGUGACUCCCCACCGGGUUGUGUGACCUCCUCAGUCAAGUCUGGACUCAGUGAUUCAUUACUCUUGAUCAUGUUUACUCAUUUAUGGACACAUGCUGUUUUUUGUGUUUAGCUAUAGCUAAAGUUAAAAUCCAUUCCAAAACAAUUGUAUACUGUAUUUUUUGUAAUUGAAUUAUUUUUUCUUUUUAAUGUUUGCACUUGUCUCAAUUUUUUCUUUGGCCUAGAUGUCAAGCAAACGUUGGACCUGUCCCACACGUACUUUUUUCCUUUCAACCUUAGGCUAAUCUUAAAAGGAAGAGGUAGUGUGCAUUAGAAAGAGGGGUAGAGAACUGGCACAACUUCCAGUCUUUGUUUGUGCCACGCUCUUACAUUAUUAUUUUAUUGUGUAAUUUAACAACUGAAAAGUUGAUUCUUAUGCCCACAGUAAUUUCCUGCCUCCCUCCCUCAUUUACAGAGACUCACUCUUGUGGCCAAUUAGUCAAUGUCUGUUGAAAUGUCUUCAUUUUUCAUUUGAGUGUUCAUUGAUCAGUAUAAUUGUAAUUAAUAAGCCAAUUUCACUUGGCAGAGAUGGGAGUUUUUGGCACUUGUUUUGAAUACCCUCAGUUAGUUACGGGGGAGGAAACGAGGGUCUCAUUAACUAGGUCGAAAUACAUGACUUUAUUAAUCUUCUACUGCCUGGGAUGUUAAAGAUUUGGUAUCAUCAGGCAGUUUAUGCUGUAUGGUAUUCACCACUGCACAUCUAGAGCUGACCUGAAAACACUGCUAUUGAUGGAUUCUGCUUGUGUGAACACCUGAUAAAGAAAAUGAAAGAGCUAAAGGAGGGUAAGCACUGGACAUAUGUUUGUUAGGGCAUUGUUACGGCCUUUUGGAAUGUUUAGGGAUAUGGCUGCAAGGCGAGCAAAAUAGCUGAAAGUGUAUCUACUUUGCCUGUGAACAUAGCAACCAGGAAAAGGAAGUUUAAUUAGGGAAAGGUUUUCAGUCUUCUAUACAACUCAACAUCACGGUUGUAAUUUUUGUCUUUUAAAGGGCUUUCCAGUCUUUAAACAUGCAACAUCCUCUGUCCCGAAACCCUUACAACAGCACAGGAAAAACUUGAUGAAAAAACCCUUUAACCGGGAGAAAAGAGGAAGAAAGGGCAUAGGAGGGAUCCCUCUAUCAAAAUGAACAACACGUAAAAGAUGUACAGUAUGUACGAAAUAUGACAGAAAUAAUUUAGAGUAGUGGGCGUCGUCACGACUUAAAAUGACUACUGAUAAUAAAAGCUGUAUUGGAUGAAGAAGGCUAACAAUAAUAACAAAUGAUUAUGGUGUCAGCAAUAGUGAUAUGACUACUGUAAAGGGCUGAGGGGCAGAAUAGGAAAAGGGGUGUAUGUACCUACACCAUCGGAAUCAAGCCAUCGCAAUCAGGUGUGCCAGGAGACAUACCUGGACCUCAUCAAGGGGGGUACAAAAGAAGGCGGAAGGAGCAGUGAAGGGAGACAAGUUGAGGGAGGACCCCGUAAGCGGCCCG